RNAcentral lists this ribosomal RNA (450 nucleotides) under uncultured bacterium. Its description in RNAcentral is "partial 16S ribosomal RNA". It matches the Rfam family "Bacterial small subunit ribosomal RNA", at positions 354 to 796 of the family's 1533-position model. The record is from RNAcentral.
GUGGGGAAUAUUGGACAAUGGGCGAAAGCCUGAUCCAGCCAUGCCGCGUGUGUGAAGAAGGUCUUCGGAUUGUAAAGCACUUUAAGUUGGGAGGAAGGGCAGUAAGUUAAUACCUUGCUGUUUUGACGUUACCGACAGAAUAAGCACCGGCUAACUUCGUGCCAGCAGCCGCGGUAAUACGAAGGGUGCAAGCGUUAAUCGGAAUUACUGGGCGUAAAGCGCGCGUAGGUGGUUUUGUAAGUUGGAGGUGAAAUCCCCGGGCUCAACCUGGGAACUGCCUCCAAAACUGCAUGACUAGAGUACGGUAGAGGGUAGUGGAAUUUCCUGUGUAGCGGUGAAAUGUGUAGAUAUAGGAAGGAACACCAGUGGCGAAGGCGACUACCUGGACUGAUACUGACACUGAGGUGCGAAAGCGUGGGGAGCAAACAGGAUUAGAAACCCCGGUAGUCC